CCUGCCCGGGAGAUCGGGAUAACAGUUCGAAAGGGCUGCUAAUACCGGAUGAUAUCUUUUCUUUUCGGAGGGAAGAUCAAAGCGUUUAGCGCUCUCGGAUUGGGCCCGCGUCCCAUUAGUUAGUUGGUGGGGUAAUGGCCUACCAAGGCAGCGAUGGGUAGCCGGUCUGAGAGGAUGUUCGGCCACACUGGGACUGAGACACGGCCCAGACUCUUACGGGAGGCAGCAGUGGGGAAUUUUGCGCAAUGGGGGAAACCUUGACGCAGCGACGCCGCGUGAGUGAUGAAGGCCUUCGGGUUGUAAAGCUCUGUUGGGGGGGAAGAUAGUGACGGUACCCCCUGAGGAAGCCCCGGCUAACUACGUGCCAGCAGCCGCGGUAAGACGUAGGGGGCGAGCGUUGUCCGGAAUUACUGGGCGUAAAGGGCGUGUAGGCGGCUUUUCAAGUCGGCUGUGAAAUUCCUUGGCUUAACUGAGGGUGUGCAGUCGAAACUGAUGGGCUUGAGUGCAGGAGAGGGUGGUGGAAUUCCCGGUGUAGCGGUGACAUGCGUAGAUAUCGGGAGGAACACCGGUGGCGAAGGCGGCCUCCUGGCCUGUUACUGACGCUGAGGCGCGAAAGCCGGGGGAGCAAACAGGAUUAGAUACCCUGGUAGUCCCGGCCGUAAACUCUGGGUACUA
This 675-nucleotide ribosomal RNA is filed under the name uncultured bacterium. Its description in RNAcentral is "bacterial SSU rRNA". It matches the Rfam family "Bacterial small subunit ribosomal RNA", at positions 125 to 818 of the family's 1533-position model. The record is from RNAcentral.